RNAcentral lists this ribosomal RNA (700 nucleotides) under Arthrobacter sp. RNAcentral's name for it is "bacterial SSU rRNA". It matches the Rfam family "Bacterial small subunit ribosomal RNA", at positions 650 to 1348 of the family's 1533-position model. The record is from RNAcentral. Lineage: Bacteria; Bacillati; Actinomycetota; Actinomycetes; Micrococcales; Micrococcaceae.
UGUAGGGGAGACUGAAAUUCCUGGUGUAGCGGUGAAAUGCGCAGAUAUCAGGAGGAACACCGAUGGCGAAGGCAGGUCUCUGGGCAUUAACUGACGCUGAGGAGCGAAAGCAUGGGGAGCGAACAGGAUUAGAUACCCUGGUAGUCCAUGCCGUAAACGUUGGGCACUAGGUGUGGGGGACAUUCCACGUUUUCCGCGCCGUAGCUAACGCAUUAAGUGCCCCGCCUGGGGAGUACGGCCGCAAGGCUAAAACUCAAAGGAAUUGACGGGGGCCCGCACAAGCGGCGGAGCAUGCGGAUUAAUUCGAUGCAACGCGAAGAACCUUACCAAGGCUUGACAUGAACCGGAAACGCCUGGAGACAGGUGCCCCGCUUGCGGUCGGUUUACAGGUGGUGCAUGGUUGUCGUCAGCUCGUGUCGUGAGAUGUUGGGUUAAGUCCCGCAACGAGCGCAACCCUCGUUCUAUGUUGCCAGCACGUGAUGGUGGGGACUCAUAGGAGACUGCCGGGGUCAACUCGGAGGAAGGUGGGGACGACGUCAAAUCAUCAUGCCCCUUAUGUCUUGGGCUUCACGCAUGCUACAAUGGCCGGUACAAAGGGUUGCGAUACUGUGAGGUGGAGCUAAUCCCAAAAAGCCGGUCUCAGUUCGGAUUGGGGUCUGCAACUCGACCCCAUGAAGUCGGAGUCGCUAGUAAUCGCAGA